GACGAACGCUGGCGGCGUGCUUAACACAUGCAAGUCGAACGGAAAGGCCCUGCUUGCAGGGUACUCGAGUGGCGAACGGGUGAGUAACACGUGGGUGAUCUGCCCUGCACUUCGGGAUAAGCCUGGGAAACUGGGUCUAAUACCGGAUAGGAGCCAUUUUUAGUGUGAUGGUUGGAAAGUUUUUUCGGUGUAGGAUGAGCUCGCGGCCUAUCAGCUUGUUGGUGGGGUAAUGGCCUACCAAGGCGGCGACGGGUAGCCGGCCUGAGAGGGUGGACGGCCACAUUGGGACUGAGAUACGGCCCAGACUCCUACGGGAGGCAGCAGUGGGGAAUAUUGCACAAUGGGCGCAAGCCUGAUGCAGCGACGCCGCGUGGGGGAUGACGGCCUUCGGGUUGUAAACUCCUUUCGCUAAGGACGAAGCUUUUUGUGACGGUACCUAGAGAAGAAGCACCGGCUAACUACGUG
Molecule: ribosomal RNA, 465 nt
Filed under: uncultured bacterium
Lineage: Bacteria
Description: partial 16S ribosomal RNA
Rfam family: Bacterial small subunit ribosomal RNA
Source: RNAcentral